Molecule: ribosomal RNA, 139 nt
Filed under: uncultured bacterium
Lineage: Bacteria
Description: partial 16S ribosomal RNA
Rfam family: Bacterial small subunit ribosomal RNA
Source: RNAcentral
UGGGGAAUAUUGGACAAUGGGCCACAAGCCUGAUCCAGCAAUUCUGUGUGCACGAUGAAGGUCUUCGGAUUGUAAAGUGCUUUCAGUUGGGAAGAAGAAAGUGACGGUACCAACUGAAGAAGCGACGGCUAAAUACGUG